Molecule: long non-coding RNA, 32026 nt
Filed under: Citrus maxima (pomelo)
Lineage: Eukaryota; Viridiplantae; Streptophyta; Magnoliopsida; Sapindales; Rutaceae
Description: long non-coding RNA (CMAX_LNC000845)
Source: RNAcentral
UUAAAUUUUUCGCACAACACUUUCACAUGAAGAAUUCCUGAAAGUAUUGGUGUUAUGAGAUCAUUGGAGUCUGUUGAUUUUUCUGUAAACCAAAUUUCGGGUAAAAUUCCACGGAGCAUGUCAAAUUUGAUGUCCUUGAAUUAUUUGAACUUGUCCAACAACAAGUUGACUGGGAAAAUUCCUUCAAGCACUCAACUCUAGAGCUUCGAUGCAUCUAGUUUCGCUGGCAAUGAUUGUUGAAGUCAAACAAAUUGUUGGUUGCAACCAACAAUUGUAAGGUAGCAAAAUCAAAUUGAAUUUGAUUUUGCAGCCAAAAAGAAAGAAUGGACAAAGGGGAUGAAGCAAAAAUGUUUGAAUGGAGAAAGGGGAUGAAGCAAAAAUGUUUGAAUGGAGAAAGGGGAUGAAGCCAAAAUGUUUGAAAAAUAAUAAUAAUUAAAUAUUAUAUUUUCAAUUAUUUUAUUCUUUGCAUAGUAACUUAUUUCUCUUAUAAAUAGCUAGGGAUUUCAUUCAUCCCAAAAAUUUGUUAUGCUUAUAAGUUUCUAAGCUUUUGAGAGUUCUGAGAGUGUGAACAAUUGGAGAGUGUGUGUGAGAGUACUGGGUGUAUUUGGGUUCUGGGAAAGUGAGAUUUCUUUAUUCAAAUAUUUGUACUCUAUUAAUUGUUAAUAAUACAAUUAAUUUUCUCUUGCUCCCGCGGACGUAGGCAUAUUGCCGAACCACGUAAAUUUUGUGUCUUUUAUUUUUCUAUAAUUAUUUGGUGCGCUUGAUUCCGCAUUCCGCACAUAACAAGUGGUAUCAGAGCCGACAAUUUGUACUUGGAGGGAUAUGUUACUGUUCACGUUUACGAUACUAUUUCUAUAUACGGUAUUGUUUCACAUAUGGUAUUGUUCACGAAUACGAUGGAGACGACCAUUUGUACUUGGGAGACAUUAUAUUGUAAGUAGUGUGUAUUUUUAUAUGUCUAGGAAAGUUCUGUCAAUAAGGCGAUAAGAGUAUAAGGAUUCUGGUUUUUAACUGGGACCAAGUUCCCGUCAAGUCUCCUGAAAAAUUUCCUGGUGCAUUUAUUCACGCGAAAUUAACAUCAUAGAGGCUGUUUUUCAAGUGGAAAUAGUUCGUUGAGAAAAUGUAGAAGGUGAAACUUCCAAAAUUUGGGAGAGAUCUACCGAGACUAUUUCAGAAGACACUUUAGGUGGGAUGCGAGAUUUGUCAAAUCGUUAUUCAACACCUAUUAUAUAAGGCCAGAAGAUUAAUGUUGAAAAGUUUGAUAGGAAAAUCAACUUCGACAUGUGGAGGCGCGAAGUUAUGGAUGCCCUUAUUUAAAUCGAUCUCGAUGUGGUUCUGAAAAAUAAAAGACACUUGUAUGAUGAAGAAAUUUGGGAUCGUGUGAACGAGAAAGCUUGUGGUCAGAUCAGAUCUUGUUUGAUCAAGGAGGUGAAAUACUUGGUGAAAGAUGAUGAGUGUGCGAUGACUUUAUAAUGUACAUUGGAGGAGAAGUACUUGCUGAAAAGUCCUGAAAAUCGUCUUCAUGCAAUGAGGUAAGUAUAUGGCUUUCGAAUGAAGUCUGGGGUGUUAAUGCAUUAUAAUGUCUCAAGAUUUGAAAAGUUACUUGCUGAUUUGAAGAAUCUUGAUGAAAAUAUUAAGGAUGAAGUCAAGGCUAUAAUUCUGUUACACUCACUACUAGAGGAAUAUAGCCAUUUUGUGACUACCUUGAUAUAUGGGAAGAGUGUGAUUGUCUUCAAAGAUGUUUGCACAUCAUUGACUAACUUGGAGAUUCGAAAUAAUGAUAAAAAUUCUGAACGAGCAUCGUUUGAAGCUUUGGUGAGCAAAGAUUAGGCGAUGGAGAAAAAGAAGAAGCGUGGUGGAAAGAAUUCUCGAUCCAAAUCGAGAAGCAGAAAUAUAACUCGAGACGAGUGUGCCUCUUUCAUGAAAAGAGCCAUUAGAGAAAAGAUUGUCCAAGAGCUCAAAAGAGAGAUGUGAAGAAACCAGUAGUAGCAAACAUGGCACAGAAAGAUGAAGACUCUGAUUAUUCACUAAGUAUUACUUCUGCAGCAUACGUGUCUAGUUCGAGCAAGUGGAUACUUGAUACUAGAGCAACCUAUCAUUUGUGUCCUAUUAAAGAAUGGUUUACGGAUUUUCGUAAUCUGGAAUCUGGUGCAGUUGUGAUGGGGAAUAAUCAAUCUUGUCGUACAAUGGGGAUAGGAACAAUUCAGCUCAAAAUGUUUGAUGGAAUGAUAAGAGAACUCAAAGAGGUUAGAUUUGUUCCAGCUUUAAAGAAAAAUCUAAUUUCUAUGGGUGCUUUGGAAGCUAAAGGCUACAAGGUUACCAUUGAAGAUGACAUAAUGAAGUUUACACAUGGGGCUAUGGUGAUUCUACAAGGGGUUCGGCGUCACAAUUUGUACUAUUUGAAGGGAGGUACAACUGAUGAAGCAAAUGUUACUGAGGCGCACAGUGACACCACCAAGCUACGACAUGUACGACUGGGACAUACUGGAGAGAAGUAUUUGCAAACUCUGAUGAGGCAUUGACUCUUAAAAGGUACCAAAACCUAUAAAUUAAAUUUCUGUGAGCAUUGUGUAGUAGGCAAGAAAACAAGGGUCAAGUUUGGUAUGGCUAAUCACGAUACUCGUGAGAUCCUUGAAUAUGUUCACAGUGAUGUAUGGGGACCAACCAAGACUACAUCAAUUGGUGGAAUCCAUUAUUUUGUUACAUUUGUUGAUGAUUUCUCUAGACGUGUGUGAGUGUACACCAUGCGAGCAAAUGAUGAUGUUCUAGAGAUUUUUGUGAAAUGGAAGAAAUUGGUGGAGACUCAAACUGGUAGAAAGAUCAAAGUAUUACGAUAUGAUAAUGGGGGUGAAUAUACUUCUGAUCCAUUCUUGCAAAUAUGCCAGAACGAGGGUAUUAAAAGACAUUUCACGGUGAGACAUACUCCGCAACAAAACGGUGUGGCUGAGCAUAUGAAUCGUACUUUGCUAGAGAAAGUAUAGUGUAUGUUAUCUAAUGCUGGUUUAAAUAACAAGUUUUGGGCUGAUGCUGUGAGCUACGCAAGUCACUUGGUAAACCGGUUGCCUUCUACUGCAAUUGGAGAUAAAACUCCUAUGGAAAUGUGGUCUAGAAAGCAUGCACAAGAUUAUGAUGCCCUUCGUAUAUUCGAGUGUCCAGGUUAUUAUCAUGUCAAAGAUGGUAAACUAGAUGCUCGUGCUAGAAAAGCUAUCUUUGUGGAAUUCAAAGGUAGUGUAAAAUGACUUAAGCUUUGGGAUCUCGAAGAUAAAAAGUUUGUGUGUAGCAGAGAUAUCAUGUUUGAUGACGCUUCAAUGAUGAAAGCUUCAAGUUCUCAACAGGUGGAGAACAAGACCACAGAGGUAUUACAGCGGGUGGAGUUUGAUGAAACUCCAUAUGUACCAGUUAGUUCUACAUCAGAAAAUGAUUCAACUAUGGAGGUGACACUUAGAGUCUGAUGUCCCACAAAAUGAAGAAACAAUUGAUGAUAUGGAUAAUGAUGAUUCUAUAGCAACAAGGAGGCCAAGAAGAGAGAUAAAGAAAUCCGGAUGGCUUACUAAAGACAUGGUGGUAGCCUAUGCACUUCCAGUUAUUGAUGAUGACAUCCCCAACACUUUCAGUAAAGCAUUACGCAGCAGUGAAAGUGAUAAAUGGAAGUUAGCCAUCGAAGAAGAGAUGAAAUCUCUCCAUCAAAACCAGACUUGGGAACUUGUGGAGUUACCAAAGGGGAAAAGGGCUAUUGGCAAUAAAUGAGUCUACACCAAAAAGCAAGGAUCUCCAAAUCAAUCAACUUCUCGAUACAAGGCAAGGCUCGUUGCAAAAGGUUUUGCUAAGAAGGAAGCUAUUGGCUACAAUGAAGUUUUCUCUCCAGUUGUAAAACAUAAUUCCAUUCGUAUCCUACUUGCCUUAGUUGCAGAAUAUGAGUUAGAGUUGGCUCAAUUAGAUGUUAAGAUGGCAUUCUUACAUGGAGAUUUGGAGGAGGAAAUCUAUAUAACUCAGUCUUGUGGUUUUAAAGUUGAUGUAAUAGAGAAUCGUGUGUGCAGAUUGAUUAAAUCUUUAUACAAAUUGAAACUAAUUCUUUGAAUGCAUUGAGUUUGGAGAAUUAUGAACUACGAUUGGCUUGAUCCCAUAUUUUGGGUACGUAGGUAGUCGAAGUGACACAACCAUUUUGGAUCCUUAUUGAAGGAUCACCGUAGGGAUGAUGAUCCGUCGAUAGUCAGCUCAGAUUUGGCAAAUUUUCGCCGAGGUGGAGAUUUUUUGAAGUCAAACAAAUUGUUAGUUACAACCAACAAUUGUAAGGAAGCAAAAUCAAAUUGAAUUUGAUUUGCAGCCGAAAAGAAAGAAUGGACAAAGGGGAUGAAGCCAAAAUGUUUGAAUUAUAUUUUCAAUUAUUUUAUUCUUUGCAUAGUAACUUAUUUCUCCUAUAAAUAGCUAAGGAUUUCAUUCAUUUCAUUCAUCUCAAAAAUUUGUUAUGCUUAUAAGUUUCUAAACUUUUGAGAGUUCUGAGAGUGAGCAAUUGGAGAGUAUAUGUGAGAGUACUGGGUGUAUUUGGGUUCUAGGAAAGUGAGAUUUCUUUAUUCAAAUAUUUGUACUCUUUUAAUUGUUAAUAAUAUAAUUAUUUUUCUCUUGCUCCCGUGGACGUAGGCAUAUUGCCAAACCACGUAAAUUUUGUGUCCUUUAUUUUUCUAUAAUUAUUUGGUGCGCUUGAUUCCGUAUUCCGCGCACAACAAUGAUCUCUGUGGAGCUCCUCUUCCAAAAAAUUGUACUGAAAAUGUUUCAAAUUCAGAAGAUGAAAAUGGAGAUGAAGACGAAGAUGAAUUGGACCAUUGGUUUUAUGUAAGCAUUGCACUUGGCUUUGUGGCGGGAAUUUGGUGUUUUAUAGGCCCUUUGAUUUUCAAUAGAAGAUGGAGGUACAAAUAUUGUCAUUUCCUAAAUCGUCUUGAGGAGAGAGUUGUUGAUGUUGUAAGAAAACGUGGCUAGAUUUUCUCUGUUUUUGAGUUGUUCUGCUUUUUCAUGUACUGUGCUCACUGAAAGGAAUAGAAUAUUACUUAAAAUAAACGAAUGGCCUUUUAUUUGUUUUGUUCCUGAAAGCAAAAAUUAAUGCGAAAUAAUUUUUAAAUAAGGCGAAUGAUAUUCAUAUUAAAAAUCAUACGAGACUUUCCAACUCAACAAAAUUAGUACUGAUAAAUCAAAAUUGAAAAAGUAUAUUUUAUGGACACUUCACCAUCUAUAGGAUCAACAAUUUUUAUAUUAAAAAAGAUUAUAAAUCACAACAUUGGUAUCAAAAUGUUAAGAUCUUGAAAAAGUAAAUGGAAAAGAUUCUUAGAUUAACAAGCAACACUGCAACAGGGGAGGGGGCUCAACUAUUCUCUAUUAUGCAAUUUUGACCAGUAGUACUUCUCUCUUCUUUUACAUUUUAGGGUUAUUAUCAUUUUACUACUUCAGGAAUUGCCAAAUAUCAAAUGACUACAACAAUCGUUGUCUCCUAUUAUUUUACUACUAUAUCUUUAUAAAAAUAUCAUUUUACUACUUUUCCGUUAUAACUGUUAGUUGACCAGUUAGUUGACUAUCAAAAUACCAAUUUCACCCUUCAUGAUUAAAAAAAAAUAUUUGAAGCUUAUUUACAAAAUAAAUUUGUAAUAUAUUUAUUAAAAUAGAUAUAAAAUACCAACAUAUUUUUUUUGCUAGAAUUAUUAUAUAUGAAUUACAAAAUUUAUCUUAUUAUUAUUUUUAAUCAUGAAGGGUAAAAUUAGUAUUUUGUUAGUCAACUACCGGUCAACUAACAGUUAUAACGGAAAAGUAGUAAAAUGAUAUUUUUAUAAAGAUAUAGUAGUAAAAUGAUAGGAGACAAUAACUGUUGUAGUCAUUUGAUAUUUGGCAAUUUCUGAAGUAGUAAAAUGAUAAUAACCCUACAUUUUAUAUAUGGAAUAUUUUCAAUGCAACAUUGAGAUUCACAACUAUCCAUGUAAAUACUAAUUACAGCAAAACUCUCCUCCUUUAAAUUUGAAAAAAGAAAACUUAGGUGGCGUUUGUUUUUUUGUCUAAAAUCUGAAUAGACCUGAAUUAGUCUGAAUUCUGAAUAGAUCUGAAUGUCUGAAUCUAAAUAACAUGUUUUUUUUUUUCGUCUGAAUCUCGAAAAAUAAGUAUUAAGUUGUUUGUUUUUUUCAACUGAAAAAGCUGAAAAUAUGUACUUUUACUUUUGUAUCCUUAUUAAAUUUGAAAGUCAAAUAAAUAAUAUAUUAAAUACCACAAUAUUUUAACAUUUAUAAGUAAAACUAUAUUCAAGUGAAUACAUAAUUAUUUUGGAAUUUAUAUAUAUAAAAUACCAUAAAUUUUAAAUUUUAUCGUAUAUAAUAUAAGAAAGAAAAAAUAAUGAUAUUUUUAUAUGGGAAAAAUGUCUAUGGGUGAGUUUUGGGAUAGACAUGAAAAAUAAAUUAUAAAACAUGGAUAUUUUUGACAUUAGUAAGUAAUUGACUUAAUUCAAAUUUCUCCAUUAAGUAAAAAGCUAAAAAAAUUGGCUUAUUUUAUUAAGUCAAAAUUAUCUAAAAAGUCUCAUUAAGUUAUAAAAACAAACACCUCUAAUUAACUUAAUUAAUUAAGUUAAGUCACUUUAAGUCAUUAAGUUAAAAAACAAACGCCACCUUAGUCUUGGUUUAUUUCAUUAAAUAGAGUUAGUUAACGAUGUGUCACGAGAUAUAUAGAUAUUAGUCCAUAUAAUAUAAUAAUCGAUUGAGUUAAAGUCGUCAAAUCUGAAUAUUGUUAUCUUCUGACUUAAAAAGUCGUUUGCGUGGAAAGGACGUAAAUCCUAAUCCAAUUAACAGUAGGAUGAUGUUGAGUUGGAGUAUGCGAACGAACUAUAAGGUCACAAUUUAAGAUAAUUAUUUUGAAAGAGAGAAAUGGCCCUAUAAAUAGCAAUGUUGUUGAUAACACAAAUUCAAAUAAACAUUUACUCUUUAUUAAACCAAACAUGAGUGGUGUCCUUGUUUUUGCCUCACUUCUUGAAUUACUUGUCGUUAGCAUGAGUGGACAAAUUGAUGCGUGAUUUUAACGUAAAUAUAUACAAGGAUCACCGAUGAUUGACUUAAGUGAUUGUAAAUGGCAUCUGUGUGACUGUGUCCUUUACAUGUCCUCUUCAAUUGACUUAAAGUCGCUUCGCUAAGUAGGAGGUUACUUUGUGUCAUGUGCAAAUUGGAUUAUGCAGAAAACUGAGUUUCUAGUUACUUUUUCCAAUAAAAAGCCCCAAACGGAUGCUGAAUUGCUGAAAGAUAAGUUGAGAUUGUUCAUUAGAUCAAGGACAUUUUCCUUGUUAACAAAAUUAAUAAACGAACAUAUAAAAAUGAAGUAAUUAUCCAUAAGUACUGCUACAACAAAUAACUCUAAUGCAUAGACUAUAGAUUCCAUUUUGUCGGUGGCGGACUAAGGUUAAAAAUAAAGAAAUUCAUAAGGGUAUUAAUUGAAAUUUAAUCUAUUUCUUAAAAUAUUACAUCAUCAUUAUCCAUUAUUUACAAAAUUUUGAUUAUUGCCUCCAUAAGUUCGUAGUUCUUUUUUGGGCAUGUUUCAACCAAAAUACCGGUUUUGAAUUUAGAAUGCGAAACUCUCCGCAAAAUUUUUACUUUGAGACGUCAUAACACAGUUUUCUCAAAGUAAUUGACAUUUAAUUACGAACAAAAUAUCACCAUCGAUAUCGAUCCCAAUUAAAUUCUUCAAGUUCCUUCCAGUCUUGGUUAUUUUUAUUAAAUGGAGUUAGUAAGAUAGUCAUGAGAUAUUUCAUUAUCUACAACGAUCAUCGACUUGUGACAUUACCAAAUUAAAUAGUAUCUAUAUAUCGUCCUAUAUAAUGAAUAGACUUGAAGUCGUUUCCUCAUAAAGGGGGUUAGAACUGGAUUAUGCGGAAGAUUUAAUUAUAUGGCCUAUCGCUACUUUUUCCAAAUUAGAUUCCUGGCCCACUUUACUGAUUAUAUCAAAUGGAUGCUGAGUUUCUGAAACAUAAUCCAAGAGAGUAUCGGUCUUGUUAAUUGCAAUUCAUUAUAAAUAGCAAAGGUGUUGAUAACAUUAUCCUCAUCCACAUUUCCUUGACUAGCUAGCAAUGAAACCAAACAUGAGUGGUGUCCUUGCUUUUGCCUUAUUUCUGUUUGAAAUACUUGCCAUAGCAACCAUUAGCAUUAGCUUCUGCAGCGGAAGUUCUUAUCAUGGGGGUUGCCUUGAAAGUAAGAGAGGAGCACUUUUAAGGUUCAAGCGAGAUCUUAAAGACCCUUCCAAGACGAAAACAUUUUGGGCCAACUUAAUCCUCCAAUUGAUUAGAGAGACAACCAAUCUCAACAUGAUUAAAAUCAACCAAGAACUUUAAAAGAUUACAUGAAUCCAACAAGAACUGGAGCACCAUCGUGUAUAGUAUUUCCUCUAAAAGCAUCUCAAUUCAACUUCAAACCAGGUAUUAUCUAACUUUUACCGACAUUUUAUGAUUUAAAAUCUGAGAAUCCGUACGUGCAUCUAAGAGAUUUUGAGGAAGUUUGUAAUACAUACAUGGACCAAAAUUGUAGCAUGAACAUAAUUAGAUUAUAAUUUUUUCCUUUUUCAUUAAAAGAUAAAGCUAAAACUUGACUAUAAAACCUUAGAUCAUGUUAAAUUAGAAAAAAUAUCAUUACAUGGUUACUUCUGGAAUUGUUUUGGGUCAUGUUGUAUCUAUUAAAGAAUUGAAGUUGACAAAGCAAAAGUUAAAGUCAUAUCUAAAUUGCCAUAACAAAAAAUAGUUAUAGAUGUGCGAUCUUUUUCAGAACAUACAUGAUUUUUUAGAAGGUUUAUAGAAAACUUUAGUGUCAAAUUGAUAACUCUAGGAAAUGAGAGUUAUUACAUCAAUUCUAGACUUGAAUCAAGACUACUUGAGAACAAAUAAGGUGUUUUUAUUAUAUUUUGGUUACCUUUUGCAUAAACUUUCAUUUUAGUUGAGUCUUAAUAAGUUUUGCUUGAAUCAAAGUAAUUUGUACUAAAAACAGGUGUAUAAUUGUAGGUUUUAAAGUCAUGAGGGGAUGUUGAGGCAUUAGAAGAGCGAGAGGAGGAAAGAAGAUGGCCACAAAAGAAGUAAAGCACAAUCGGAAAUAAGGCAGUGUUGUAGCUGAUGUUAGAGCAACCAGUGCUGUAGCAAUCUGGGAGCAAUGCGAGAGAAAACUUAGGCACGAGUUAGCCAUAAAAACGCGAUCUGCAUGUUUCCUAAUUUAAACGCAUGCACGCUCAUGGGCUUUGGUUUACCCUAAUUUGCAAUAUAAAAAAGGAGGCGUGCACCAUAUAAAAGGCGGCGAAGGGAUAAUCAUCAGAAUAAUUACAAAGGAAAGAAGAAGAAGAUCAGAUUGAGAGAGUGUUGUUUCAGUAACAUUGAAGACUCGUGCAGAAUUAUUUGUCUUUCAUCGUGCUCAACUUAUAUUUCUCGUCUUCAUUUAAUUGUUUUGAUGUAUUCAUUGAUCAAUAUAUUUAUGUUUACUUUUCUCAUUCAGAGUAUGAACUAAAUUUACUUGUAGUUGAGUGACAAAGAAUCCAAUGGGUUCUUGACUGUUCUUAUAUGUUGUUAUGGCAUUGUUGUAGCAUUAUACUCUAGUAGUUUUUAUGAAUAUAACUGUUAUUUCGGUUGACCACCCAUUUAAUAGUUUCAGUUAAGAUAGAGCAGCAAAAGAGCAUGUCUUAGCGGAUGUUAUUAGAGUAUUACUUGAUCUUAAGUCGAGUUUCCUGGAUUAAGUUAUCUUAAAUCCCAUAAGGGCAAUACUUGAAGUUAAGAUUUGUGACACACUAGACAUAGAUGUUCACCUUGUAGGGUGGAAAGACUAAAGACCAUAAUGACAUACUAUAAGUAGAUUAGCAACUGGUCAUUGUUAAUAGAUUUAAGGGUAUGAGACUUCCAAUAUGCGGCAGCUGAGGAUGCAGAUAAACUCUGUCCAGUGCUGCAGCACUGGUCGUAACAACUGGUACUAAUUUGAUGAAAAAACAGUCAACCCCAAAGGAAAAUUUGAUCAUUCAACUACAUUAAUUUCAAUUGAAUCUUGGACACACUUAACCUAGUUAUUUCAUUACGAUAUUGUUUUAUUUAAUUCUUAUCUCAAUCAUUGAUUACAAUAGACAUUACUUGACAAUUGUUUGCUUCGGGUUUAAGUUGAGUUGCGCUAUUGUGAGUGCUGUAGCAUUUCGAGUAACAUUAAUCCAUGUGGAGACGAUCAUGAAUACUUAUCACUUUAUUACUUGUUGUGCAUACUUGCACAUUGGCAUUGAUAGUAAUUGCUUAUAAAAUUUACCAACACAUAUCUAAACCACUUUGUAACCUCUUAUUAAAAGAUGCACCAUUUGAAUGAACUGAUGAUUGCCAAAAAUCUUUUGAGAAAAUAAUUUGUCUUUUAACAUCAGCACCCAUUAUGCAAUCUUCUGAUUGGUCUCUUCCUUUUGAAUUCAUGUGUGAUGCAAGUGAUUUUGUUGUUGGUGUUGUUUUUGGACAAAGAAUGGAUGGUAAGUCGUUUGUGAUUUAUUAUGUGAGUAAGACCUUGGAUGGUACCCGAAUGAAUUAUUUGACAACUAAAAAAGAAUUACUUGCAGUGGUGUUUGUAUUAAACAAAUUUCGUUCAUAUUUGCUUGGUUCUAAAACUAUUGUUUUUACUGACCAUGCUGCUGUGAGAUAUUUGAUGACUAAACAGGAUGUCACAACCAAGACUAAUUCGAUCGAUUUUGUUACUUCAAGAAUUUGACCUUACCAUCAUUGAUAAAAAAGGUGCCGAAAAUGUCGUUGCUAAUCAUUUAUCAAAACUCACAUUCGAAUUCUGCACUGACGUAACACCCAUCAAUGACUCCUUCCUAGAAGAAUUUUUAUUUUCUGUUACUUUAAUGCUAUGAUAUGCUAACAUUAUUAAUUUCUUUGUUACAGGUAAAAUGCCUUUGCAAUAGAAUACUCAAGAGAAGAAGAAAUUUUUAGUUGAAGUAAAGAAAUUUUAUUAGGAUGAUAUUUCACACAGGUGGUAUUUCACACAUGUAGUAUUUUAUGUAUUUUAUUUAGUCUUUAAUAUGGCAUACCUAGCAGAUGUUAUAUAAUUGUGUUUGAGAAUUUUAUUUUAAAAUGAUUUUAUCUUUUUAUUGAAAAUUUUUUAUUUUAUUUUUAGUGAAUUAUACAGUAAAUUAUUGACAAUUUAACAAAAAAUAUUUCAAAUAAUUGUUCAAAAAAUAAUAAAAUAAAUUAUUAUUUAAAUAAUAAAAAUGAAAUCGAUUAUUGCGUCAAAUGAUAUGGGUUCUCACGGCUAAACUAAUCAAAGUUAAAAAACGUGUCACUCCCAAACGAAUACCUUCGCAUGGAGGUCGCCCGGUGGGGCAACGCGCAAAUUGGAUUAGUGACUGAGAUUCUCGUUGCUCCUUUCCAAAUUAAAAUUUUCAAACGGAUGCUAAAUUGUUGAAUAAGACACCAAAUUCUAUUUCCACCUGUCGUUGUAAUGAUAUUAUAUCUUUGCUGCAUGUGUCACACUCUCACAUCCGUACAAGAAAUAUAAUAAAUAAAUAAUAUGAGAUAACGGAUGGUAAUAAUAUAGCAUGCCACCUCAGGUAUGUACCUCAGAAAUAUAAUUUAAAAAUAAAAAUAUAUAAAAACCCCUUUAAUUUAGGUUAAUUUAAAAUGUAUAAGGAAUAUUUCAAAUUUGAUAAAAGGUUUAAAAUGUAUAAGAAAUAUUAACGUUUAUGUGCAUAUAAAAUUUUUAAAAUUAACAUGAAGUUUCCCUUAGUAAUUAAUUUUAAACACUUAAAAAUUAACAUGAAAUUUUACUUAAGUAGUAAUUAAAAUUUUAAACACUUUAUUUGAGAAUAAAAUCAUAAAUUAAAAUUAAUGAAUUGCACUUGAUAGUCUCAACUUACCCGAGCGGUUCGGCAUUCAUUUGAAAUUGUUAAUAUACUAUGGACUUCCUUGUUAUCUCCUAGUUAUGGAAGUGACUAAUGUAGCAUUUAUUUUUUUGUUUGAAAUUUAAAUAAACUUGAAUUAGUCACUAUUUUAAAUAGUGUUGAAUCUAAAUCAUAUUUUUUUUGUUUGAAUUACCAAAAAUAAGUAAUAAUUUAUUCUUUCUUUUAACUUAAAAAUAUGAAAAUCAGUAUUUCUACAUUUGUGCUCAUAGAAAUUAAAAAUAUUAAAUAAAUAAUAAAUAUUUCAAAGAAAAUAAAUAAAAUAAUAUGUUAUCAUAACAUAUGGUUAUUGCGAUCUUAAUAAAAGAUUUACUUUUUCUAUCCGUCGGUGUAGGCCAAUGACCGAACCAUAUUAAUUCUCCGUGUUUUUCUUAUUAUAUAACCUUAGCUAAACUAGUUCUCUAGUUGACCGCAUUUCUACAUCUAACAAUUCUUGUGAUGUAUAGGCAGCUGAAACAAUUUUUUGCGUUUUAAAACCUUUCUGACUGUAUAUCAUCAUUUUUUUUUUACGCACACCAGGAUUUGUGACGGCUAUACGGCCAAUCUCCGAUGCAAUAAAUAAAUAAAUAAUAAACGAUGUCUAUUUCCACCGCAUAUGACUAUUACGCCAACGUUAUGGAAGUUCCUCACAAAUUUACGAAAAUGACCCUUUAUCUAAUAUUUUGAUAUUUUGUAAUUCUAUCCUCAUCAACAUUUUUAUAUUAAUUAAAAUUUUUAACGAACAUCAGUUGUAAGGUCCACAUCACAAUGACACAUCAUUAGAUACGUGACUACACGCACUAUGACACAUCAAGAUCACAAUGUUUUUAAUUAAGUUCAGUCUUAUUACAAAUGCACAACUGUCUGUCUACUAGUCCUUUUAUGUUUGGGAGCUAGAGUAAGUGUAGGAUUAGAUUAAUUUUCUAGACAAAAUAUUUAUUCCAUGUUUGACGGGCUCGCUUAAAUUUGAUUAAGAGGAUUAAAUUCAAAUUUACUUUUACAAUCAUAGGAUUAGUUAUCAUAAUUUUCACAUGGGUUUAAGGAGAAUUAGAGAAAGCAAUGUUUGUCCCUUUAUGACAAUCUGUUUGUUUAUUAAUGAGUUGUUAUCUAUUUAAUUAAUUAUUUAUUUUUAUUCAUGAUUUCUUAAAAAUUAAGUAUUUAUUUUUUAUUCUACCCAUGUCAUCUUUUAUCAUUUAUUUAUUUAAUGUUAAAAGUAAUGCAUUAACAAAAUUACUUUUUAGAAACAUGCCAUUUAUCAUUUGAUUAUUAUACAAAUAUUUUUAAAAUAUUUGAUAAAUAAUUAAUUUUAUAUUUAACUAUUUUAGUUAUAUUUUUUUAAUAGGCAAUAAUAUGCAUCAUAUAUAAAAGCAUAUAAUUUUCAUAAUUUUAGUUGUUCUUGUUAAAAACCAUUUAAUUUCACUUAAAUUUAAUUUAACAUAGUGUAAUUAAAUAUUAUACUAAAUAUAAGAUUGUACUACAUAUAAAAAAUACAAUGUAAUCCAAUUCAAUUUAAUCUAAUUGAAUUUUAAGUCUAUUUAAUCAUGCUUACUAAACGUAGCCUAACCUAUAACUAAAUCAUACAGUAUAUGAUUGAUUGAUAAUGAAAGAGUAAUCGCUGGCAGACUUAUGUUGUGGCUUGAGUCCAUUUCUUUGGAAAUAUUACAUCCAAUUUGGCCCUGCCAAUCGACCAGAUAGUUCAAAUUGACAAAAUGUCAAAAUCAAUACCAAUAAUUAAUUUGAGAUCUGGAAAGAAUGUUGAUAUCCCAGUUGAUGUGACCAACAAUUGGAUGGAAUGCAAUUCAGCACAAAAACCACUUCAAAAUGGAAGCAUGUUACAACAAACUACCCAUCAAGACACUGAUUACAUGGGCCAAGCUACAGCAACUGCAGAAGAAAUUCAACCAGAACAUGCUGAAAAAGAAGUUGCAACACCAAUAACCACUUCCUAUACCAAACUAAACAAACAAAGUUUGGUAUCCCCUGAAUCUAACCAGCAGUUUAGACAUCCACCACAUUUCCCACAAAGGUUCCAGAAGCAAAAACAAGACAAGCAGUUCAACAAAUUCCUGGAAGUGCUGAAACAAUUACACAUCAAUAUACCUUUCGUGGAAGCUUUGGAGCAAAUGCCAAAUUAUGUGAAAUUUCUAAAAGACAUCUUGGCAAGAAAGAGAAGACUGGGAGAAUUUGAAACUGUUGCUUUAACACAAGAAAGCAGUCAUAUGCUCCAAAGUAAGAUUCCUGCAAAAGUGAAAGAUCCAGGGAGUUUUACAAUACCCUACUCUAUAGGAACUAGGUAUGCUGGCAGAGCACUUUGUGACCUGGGAGCUAGCAUUAAUUUGAUGCCAUUGUCUGUAUUUAAGCAGUUGGGAGUUGGGGAAUGCAGACCAACAACAGUCACUUUGCAAUUAGCUGAUAGAUCUCAUGCAUACCCUGAAGGAAAAAUAGAUGAUGUACUGGUGAAGGUUGACAAAUUCAUCUUCCCAGUGGAUUUCAUUGUACUGGAUUUUGAAGCUGAUAAAGAGGUACCCAUUAUACUGGGAACCUUUUCUAGCAACUGAAAAGACUCUGAUAGAUGUGCAGAAAGGAGAGCUCACCAUGAGAGUAAAUGAUCAGCACGUCACAUUUAAUGUACUAGAAGCUAUGAGGAACCCUGAUGAAGUAGAAGAUUGCAAUUUCCUGAGUGUAGUGGAUUUUGUUAUAGCAAACAGAAUGAACAGAUGCUGCAGUAAUUCAUUUGACAAAGUCACUACCUUUGAUGAUGUAGAAGAGGAAGAUGUUGCAGCAAUUCAGACAGAUUGGAUGGAAGAAAAGCAAUCUGAUAGGCACAAUAGGUUUAUUGAACAUUUGAAUCUUUUAAACAGGGAAGUAAAAACAAUUUUACCAUCUAUUGAAUCACCUCUUAGUCUUGAAUUAAAACUGUUACGUUCACAUUUGAAGUAUGCUUAUCUUGGUCAAAAUAACACAGUCCCUAUAAUCAUCUCUUCUACUUUGGAUGCAGGUCAAGAACAGAGUCUAGUAGAUUUACUUGGAAAAUACAGAAGAGCAAUUGGAUGGACCAUGGCAAACAUAAAAGGGAUAAGCCCAUCAAUAUGCAUGCAUAAAAUCUUGUUAGAAGAUUGCUCCAACAAUUCGGUGGAGCACCAGAGAAGGUUGAACCCCAUCAUGAAAGAAGUAGUGAAGAAGGAAAUCAUCAAAUGGUUGGAUGCUAGAAUCAUAUACCCAAUAUCAGACAGUUCAUGGGUGAGCCCAGUUCAAUGUGUUCCAAAUAAGGGAGGGAUAACAAUAAUAACUAAUGAGAAAAAUGAACUUAUCCUUACAAGGACAGUGACUGGAUGGAGAGUAUGUAUGGAUUACAGGAAGCUCAACAAAGCCACAAGAAAAUACCACUUCCCACUGCCAUUCAUAGACCAGAUGUUGGACAGACUUGCUGGAAAUAAUAUUAUUGUUUCUUAGAUGGGUAUUCAGGCUACAACCAGAUUGCUAUAGCUCCUCAGGAUCAGGAGAAAACUACAUUUACUUGUUCUUAUGGAACAUUUGCCUUCAGAAGAAUGCCCUUUGGGUUAUGCAAUGCUCCAGCAACUUUUCAGAGAUGCAUGAUGUCUAUAUUUUCUGAUAUGGUAGAGUAGACUUUAGAAGUUUUCAUGGAUGACUUCUCAGUCUUUGGAGAAACAUACAAUGAUGGUUUACACAACCUGAAAGAAGUUCUUGAAAGAUGUGAGAUGACCAACUUAGUACUCAAUUGGGAAAAAUGUCAUUUUAUGGUGCAAGAAGGAAUAGUGUUGGGUCACAAGGUAUUCAAGAAUGACAUUGAGGUAGACAAAGCCAAGAUAGAGGUAAUAGAUAAAUUGCCACCUCCAACUUCAGUAAAGGGUAUCAGGAGUUUUUUGGGACAUGCUGGAUUUUACAGAAUAUUCAUUAAGGAUUUUUCCAAGGUGGCUAAACCAUUAUGCUCAUUGCUGGAACAUAAUAAGCCCUUUUACUUUGACAAAGAGUGUCAUCAAGCAUUUGGAGAAUUAAAGAAAGCUCUUAUCACUGCUCCAGUAAUCAUAUCUCCAGACUGGACUUUACCAUUUGAAUUGAUGUGUGAUGCUAGUGACCAUUCUGUGGGAGCAGUAUUAGGGCAAAGAAGGGACAAGGUUUUUCACUCCAUAUACUAUGCAAGCAAAACUCUUACUCAAACUCAAAUCAAUUACACCACUACAGAUAAAGAAUUGCUAGCUGUAGUAUUUGCUUUUGAUAAAUUCAGAGCCUACUUGGUGAGCACUAGAGUGACUGUAUAUACAGACCAUGCAACCAUCAAAUACUUAAUUUCAAAGAAAGAUGUCAAGCCAAGAUUAAUCAGAUGGAUCUUAUUGCUACAAGAAUUUGAUUUGGAAAUUAAAAAUAGAAAGGGGAUUGAGAAUUAAAUAGCAGACCACAUGUCAAUGUUGGAAGCAUACACAAGCACAUUGACAAGGAAAUACAUUACUGAAACUUUUCCUGAUGAACAACUGUUGGUGGUACAGCAAGCACAGAUGUUGCAGCAGUCAGAAUCUCCAUGGUAUGCAGACUUUGCUAACUAUUUAGUAAAUUGGUUGCUACCACCUAAGCUGAAGUUUCAAGAGAAAAAGAAAUUUCUUCAUGAUGUUAGAAGUUACCAAUGGGAUGACCCACAUUUAUAUAAGCUGUGCACAGAUCAAGUAAUACGAAGAUGUGCUGCAGAAGGAGAGAUUCCCCACAUACUGGAGUCAGGUCAUGCUGCAGCAUAUGGAGGACAUUUUGGUGGUCACAGAACAGCUGUUAAAGUACUGCAAUCAGGUUAUUACUGGCCAACUAUUUUUAAAGAUGCUUAUGAAUUUGUUAAAUGUUGUGACAGGUGUCAAAGGACAGGGAACAUAACUAGAAGACAUGAAAUGCCGUUGACCAACAUCCUGGAAGUGGAAAUUUUUGAUGUCUGGGGAAUAGAUUUCCUAGGACCUUUUCCCCCAUCCUUUGGGAACUUAUAUAUCCUUAUUGCUGUGGAUUAUGUCUCCAAGUGGGUAGAAGCUGCAGCUUUUUCUUCAGAAAAAUAUUUUUUCCAGAUUUGGCACUCCUAGAGCAAUUAUUAGUGACGAGGGUACACAUUUUUGCAACAAAAUCUUUGCUGCAGCAAUGGUAAAAUAUGGAGUCAGACACAAGGUAGUUACAGCAUAUCACCCACAAUUCAAUGGUCAGGCUGAAGUUUCCAACAGAGAAAUUAAAAAGAUCUUAGAAAAAGUGGUGAACCCAACAAGGAAGGAUUGGUCUUUACACUUACAUGACUCUCUAUGAGCCUACAGAACAGCAUACAAAACUCCACUCGACAUGUCCCCUUACCGAAUUGUUUAUGGCAAGGCUUGUCAUUUGCCACUAGAGCUAGAGCAUAAAGCACACUGGGCACUAAAGAAAUUAAAUUGGGAUAUUCAUGCUGUAGCAGAGCAAAGGAAGCUUCAACUUUGUGAGCUUGAUGAAUUACGGCUAUUUUCAUAUGAAAAUGCAAGAAUCUAUAAAGAGAGGACAAAACAAUGGCACGACAAGCAUAUUUAGCACAAGAAAUUCAACCCUGGUCAAUUAGUGUUGCUCCACAAUACAAGACUAAGGUUAUUUCCGGGAAAGCUCAAGUCACGAUGGUCUGGCCCAUUUAAGCUGCUCAAAUUUUAUCCUCAUGGAGCUGUUGAUCUUCUAGAUGAACAGACAGGUCAAGAAUUCAAGGUUAAUGGACACAGGGUUAAGCACUACAUACAUCUAGCGGCAGAUUGUUCAAAUGAGGUGUUACUCCUUAAAGAACCCAGCUAUUGAACAAUGAAAGAAGGUCAGGCUGAAAGACCUUAAAUCAAGCGCUCCAUGUGAGGCAACCCAUUGGGGAGACAGCCACUUCAAACCAACUUUGACAUCCUUUGGUUUUGUAGACAGCUCUCCCUCUUUACCAUCUUAUUUAAUUUUGUUUUUCUAUGUUAGCCAUUUACUUUUAUCCUUUUACAUUAUUGCAUUCUUUAUUUUCGCUUUAAUUUGAUCUAUUUAUUUCUUUUAAUAAUUUUAGAAUUAAUUUUAGUUUGUGAGAAGUAUGUGUGACAAUUGAAUUCCAUAUUGACAAGUGAGAGUGGAUGGUGGUAGAAUGCAGAGGUGAGCCACGUGUCAGAAGCUUUAGUGUGGAGUAUGUAUCCGUUGUUAGAGUAAGCAAAUGGGUGCUGCAGCAACUAAUUUUACUGUUACAGUAAAUUAAAAGCUGGAGCUUUUCACUUACCGUGGAGAUAAAAUCGUGACAAAUGGACGCAUGGAUAUGGAUAGAAAUUGCGGAACCAAAUCUCCGAAAUUAAAGCUUUAAUUUCACUGGCCGAUGAUUUUGGGAUAUGCACAUUUAAUUCAAAAUAUUUUAUUCCCUCAAUUAUCUCUAGUUACCGUAUUUAUCUUUAAUUAAAGUCCACUAUAAAAAGGAGUCACUGUGCUUAGUGCUCUACGACAAUAUUACCCAUCUCCUUCGCAAAUACAACUCUCCUAAUUCUUACCCUCUUCUUCUCAUUUUACUCUCAGGAACAUUAACUUCAAUUUGCUACUGCUACAGCAAUGCCGAGGUAUAAGAAAACAGCCAGCUGCCUCAAAGAUCUGUCACGCUUCCAGAGUUACCACGCCGAAGAAAAAUAUGAAGAAUUCAUAGAGCCGCGUAAGAUUCUGGAAGAAAAAAGGUUACAAUUUCCAGACCAACUCACUGGAAUUGUGCAAACAAUUCAUAAUGCUGCAGCAAAGCGAGGAUGGUUAGAGUUUUGCAACCACCCUCGAGAUCAUGUACUACCCGUAGUCAAAGAAUUUUACGCAAUUUGGUAAGUCUUGAUCAGCACAACAUUUGGGUAAGAAAUACACUUGUUCCAUUAGACUCCCGCGUUAUAAAUGCUUUUUAUAAUUUACCUGCUAAAAUUAAUUGUGAGUAUGCCAAGUUGCGUGAUAAAUUAAGCCCGAAAAAGUGGACCACCAUUUUCACAAACGCUUACAAUCGAAGGGGCAUCAUGGGCUAACGAGGAAGGGCGUGUAGUUAAUAGGAUAGAUUUGAAGCCUAUUGCUAAGGUGUGGGUGAAAUUUCUGAAAUAUAGGCUUCUGCCCACCACUCACACUACUACAGUUUCGCAAGAGAGGUUGGUCUUGUUAUAUGUCAUUGUUCGAGGGCUUCCUAUAGAUGUGGGUAGCAUCAUUGCAAAAGAAAUCCGGGAUUGUACAGUCAAGACUCACCGAACGGCUACCUUGCUAUUUCCUUCACUCAUCACUAGCAUUUGUGUAGUUUCUGGUGUUCGUCUUGACGCUAGAGAUGACCAUGUCAAGAGUGAUGGUGCCUUUACGGCACGUACCAUUGAGAGAGUUGCUGGUGAAGUGCUGGAACAACCAUUGAACCAGCUGUUGUAACAGAGCAAGACGAGCUAUUGGCUUAGAACAGACCAUCCAGGCACUCAGCACCAGUAUCACUCAGUGUGCAGAAGCUCAGCAGAGAGAAAAUGAUCGGUUUUGGAGUUAUCUACAGCACCUGGACAACCAACUACACCAAUUUACUCUGUACAUGAAACGCAUUCACCGGAACUUCCCUGAUUCACUGCUCCAGCAGUACAAUUUUGACACCAACACCACAGAUGCUCCAGCAGAAGCCAGUGAAGAAGCCACUGCCACAGAUGAACCAGCAGAUGAAGCUGCAGCUGAACCACAAGCAAAGGUAGACUCAAAAGAUGCUGAUCCAUCUGACCCACCUGAGGAUGAAGGUGACAAGUCUAAGACUGAUAGCUCACCCACGGAGGCAGAGGACAAUUCAGAGAAAGAACGUGAGGAACCAACCAUCCCAACCCAGUCCAAAACCAGGAAACAACACAUCAUUCAAAAAGAGGAGGAGGAAGACCUUGAAGAGGAACUGUCUAUUCUAGUCUUUAUAGGCAAGGGAAAGGACAAGGGUAAAGCAAAAAUGGCCACACCUCCAGCCUCUGAAGAUGAAAUGGAGCAAGUUGAUGCCGAGCUGGCUGCUGCAGCAGCCAGAGUUACGCCUACAACUGAACAAGCCAAGCAACUACUGGCGAUCAUUGCUGCCAUCACAGCUGAGGGCCAGGCAGCUGAUGCAUCAACUCCAAUUCCUCCACAGCAGACUCCUACCCAGCCUGUUCGCACCAGUCCAUGACAAUCCAGCAAAAGAAAAGGCAGUACGUCCAAAGGCACUACUACAACAACCCCAGCCACAACUCCUCUAACCAGCCCCGUGACGAAAAAGACAAAGACAUUGCCAGUUACUUCCCCACAAGCUUCCCCAAAGGAUAAGCUGCGCAGUGCAGCCAAGAAGUGCUGAUUGCAGUCCCCACCACAGGGGAGUUUUCUUUCUUUACUAGUUCAUUUCGUAAAAAAAAAUAUAUAUAUAUCUACCUUCUGUUUGUCAAUUUGUGUGGUAUUUUCUAAGGUCUUCCAUAUCCUUGUCAGUUUGUGUACCUUUGUUAUGUAUGCUUGUGAGGACACAUCAACUCUCAAGUUUGGGGGGGUUGUGUUUCUGAAUGCAUAUGUUUAUGUUUGUAUGCAUGUGUUUAUGUUUGUAUGGUGUGAAGUCUGUUAUCUAAUAUUUGUGUAUGGAUUUGAAAAUGUAAUGAAGAUAAAUUGAGUGCUAUUCAGUAUUUAUAUGCCCAGUAGAGAUAGUUAUAGAUGAAAGUGAAAUUAUAUCCUGACACUUAGACUUUUGUUGAAUUGUAUGAGACUACUAGAGCAAAGCCAAAAGAAUAGAAAAGAUCCUAAAUUUUGGGGGAAGAAGCAAGUUUGAUUAACUGUAAUAUCUAUGAAACAUAAUAUGUUCCAAUGGCUCAAGUUGCUGAGUAACCAGAUUUGAGUAUGUACCCCAUAUGCAGAAUUGUGUUCAAAGGUAGCGAGAGUUAUGAGCAAUGCUGAAGCAUGUUGUUAUAAAAAAAAAACAAAAAAAACAAAAAGAAAAAGAAAUCCUCUGUCUAAGGCAUUGAGUAGCCAGGUCUGUUCAUGAGCCCCAUGUUCAGCCUUGAGUAAAAGAUACCUCUAGAUAAGAUUACAUUACAGAAUCUUGCUACAACAACUCUAAUUUGGGCAUGGUUUGAGUAAUUGGGUGUCAUCAUUACAAUUGAUUGACAUUCACAUGAAAGAUAAAUGUUACAGUGAGGAGGUUGAAUAUUCCCUAGUUUAUCAAUCUUAAAAUCAUCACAGUCUGAGUAUGUAAAAGUUAUGUUACCCCAUUUAUGAAUGAAGUGUUCUUACUACUGAAAUUCAUGCAAUCCCUUGGUGAUGUUACAGCAUCUCUGGAAUUCAAUCGAAGGAACACACACACACUAUGGACAGAAAGAAGCUUAAGUCUAGAGCUAAUUUACUAUGGUCAUUUUGCAUGAUUGGGAUUGUGAUCUGAAGGUGGAAGAAUCCUUGCAAAUUUGAUAAAAGAGCUAAAGUUGUGUGCAUGAUUGUUUGCGGGAAGUGUUAGUAUAUGUCAUUACUUGAGGGCAAGUAAUGGUUUAAGUUUGGGGGUGUGAUAACUCUAGGAAAUGAGAGUUAUUACAUCAAUUCUAGACUUGAAUCAAGACUACUUGAGAACAAAUAAGGUGUUUUUAUUAUAUUUUGGUUACCUUUUGCAUAAACAUUCAUUUUAGUUGAGUCUUAAUAAGUUUUGCUUGAAUCAAAGUAAUUUGUGCUCAAAACAAGUGCAUAAUUGUAGGUUUUAAAGUCAUGAGGGGAUGUUGAGGCAUUAGAAGAGCGAGAGGAGGAAAGAAGAUGGCCACAAAAGCAGUAAAGCACAAUCGGAAAUAAGGCAGUGUUGUAGCUGAUGUUAGAGCAACCAGUGCUGUAGCAAUCUGGGAGCAAUGCGAGAGAAAACUUAGGCACGAGUCAGCCAUAAAAACGCGAUCUGCAUGUUUCCUAAUUUAAAUGCAUGCACGCUCAUGGGCUUUGGUUUACCCUAAUUUGCAAUAUAAAAAGGAGGCGUGCACCAUAUAGAAGGCGGGAAAUGGAUCAUCAUCAGAAUAAUUACAAAGGAAAGAAGAAGAAGAUCAGAUCGAGAGAGUGUUGUUUCAGCAACAUUGAAGACUCAUGCAGAAUUAUUUGUCUUUCAUCGUGCUCAACUUAUAUUUCUCUUCUUCCUUUAAUUGUUUUGAUGUAUUCAUUGAUCAAUAUAUUUAUGUUUACUUUUCUCAUUCAGAGUAUGAACUAAAUUUACUUGUAGUUGAGUGACAAAGAAUCCAAUGGGUUCUUGACUGUUCUUAUAUGUUGUUAUGGCAUUGUUGUAGCAUUAUACUAUAGUAGUUUUUAUGAAUAUAACUGUUAUUUCGGUUGACCACCCAUUUAAUAGUUUCAGUUAAGAUAGAGCAGCAAAAGAGCAUGUCUUAGCGGAUGUUAUUAGAGUAUUACUUGAUCUUAAGUCGAGUUUCCUGGAUUAAGUUAUCUUAAAUCCCAUAAGGGCAAUACUUGAAGUUAAGAUUUGUGACACACUAGACAUAGAUGUUCACCUUGUAGGGUGGAAAGACUAAAGACCAUAAUGUCAUACUAUAAGUAGAUUAGCAAUUGGUCAUUGUUAAUAGAUUUAAGGGUAUGAGACUUCCAAUAUGCGGCAACUGAGGAUGCAGAUAAACUCUGUCUAGUGCUGCAGCACUGGUCGUAACAACUGGUACUAAUUUGAUGAAAAAAUAGUCAACCCCAAAGGAAAAUUUGAUCAUUCAACUACAUUAAUUUCAAUUGAAUCUUGGACACACUUAACCUAGUUAUUUCAUUACGAUAUUGUUUUAUUUAAUUCUUAUCUCAAUCAUUGAUUACAAUAGACAUUACUUGACAAUUGUUUGCUUCGGGUUUAAGUUGAGUUGCGCUAUUGUGAGUGCUGUAGCAUUUCGAGUAACAUUAAUCCAUGUGGAGACGAUCUUGAAUACUUAUCACUUUAUUACUUGUUGUGUAUACUUGCACAUUGGCAUUGAUAGUAAUUGCUUAUAAAAUUUACCAACACAUAUCUAAACCACUUUGUAACCUCUUAUUAAAAGAUGCACCAUUUGAAUGAACUGAUGAUUGCCAAAAAUCUUUUGAGAAAAUAAUUUGACUUUUAACAUCAGCACCCAUUAUGCAAUCUUCUGAUUGGUCUCUUCCUUUUGAAUUAAUGUGUGAUGCAAGUAAUUUUGUUGUUGGUGUUGUUUUUGGACAAAGAAUGGAUGGUAAGUCGUUUGUGAUUUAUUAUGUGAGUAAGACCUUGGAUGGUACCCGAAUGAAUUAUUUGACAACUAAAAAAGAAUUACUUGCAGUGGUGUUUGUAUUAAACAAAUUUCGUUCAUAUUUGCUUGGUUCUAAAACUAUUGUUUUUACUAACCAUGCUGCUAUGAGAUAUUUGAUGACUAAACAGGAUGUCACAACCAAGACUAAUUCGAUGGAUUUUGUUACUACAAGAAUUUGACCUUACCAUCAAAGAUAAAAAAGGUGCCGAAAAUGUCGUUGCUAAUCAUUUAUCAAAACUCACAUUCGAAUUCUGCACUGACGUAACACCCAUCAAUGACUCCUUCCUAGAAGAAUUUUUAUUUUCUGUUACUUUAAUGCUAUGAUAUGCUAACAUUAUUAAUUUCUUUGUUACAGGUAAAAUGCCUUUGCAAUAGAAUACUCAAGAGAAGAAGAAAUUUUUAGUUGAAGUAAAGAAAUUUUAUUAGGAUGAUAUUUCACACAGGUGGUAUUUCACACAUGUGGUAUUUUAUGUAUUUUAUUUAGUCUUUAAUAUGGCAUACCUAGCAAAUGUUAUAUAAUUGUGUUUGAGAAUUUUAUUUUUAAAUGAUUUUAUCUUUUUAUUGAAAAUUUUUUAUUUUAUUUUUAGUGAAUUAUACAGUAAAUUAUUGACAAUUUAACAAAAAAUAUUUCAAAUAAUUGUUCAAAAAAUAAUAAAAUAAAUUAUUAUUUAAAUAAUAAAAAUGAAAUCGAUUAUUGCGUCAAAUGAUAUGGGUUCUCACGGCUAAACUAAUCAAAGUUAAAAAACGUGUCACUCCCAAACGAAUACCUUCGCAUGGAGGUCGCCCGGUGGGGCAACGCGCAAAUUGGAUUAGUGACUGAGAUUCUCGUUGCUCCUUUCCAAAUUAAAAUUUUCAAACGGAUGCUAAAUUGUUGAAUAAGACACCAAAUUCUAUUUCCACCUGUCGUUGUAAUGAUAUUAUAUCUUUGCUGCAUGUGUCACACUCUCACAUCCGUACAAGAAAUAUAAUAAAUAAAUAAUAUGAGAUAACGGAUGGUAAUAAUAUAGCAUGCCACCUCAGGUAUGUACCUCAGAAAUAUAAUUUAAAAAUAAAAAUAUAUAGAAACCCCUUUAAUUUAGGUUAAUUUAAAAUGUAUAAGGAAUAUUUCAAAUUUGAUAAAAGGUUUAAAAUGUAUAAGAAAUAUUAACGUUUAUGUGCAUAUAAAAUUUUUAAAAUUAACAUGAAGUUUCCCUUAGUUAGUAAUUAAUUUUAAACACUUAAAAAUUAACAUGAAAUUUCACUUAAGUAGUAAUUAAAAUUUUAAACGCUUUAUUUGAGAAUAAAAUCAUAAAUUAAAAUUAAUGAAUUGCACUUGAUAGUCUCAACUUACCCGAGCGGUUCGGCAUUCAUUUGAAAUUGUUAAUAUACUAUGGACUUCCUUGUUAUCUCCUAGUUAUGGAAGUGACUAAUGUAGCAUUUAUUUUUUUGUUUGAAAUUUAAAUAAACUUGAAUUAGUCACUAUUUUAAAUAGUGUUGAAUCUAAAUCAUAUUUUUUUUGUUUGAAUUACCAAAAAUAAGUAAUAAUUUAUUCUUUCUUUUAACUUAAAAAUAUGAAAAUCAGUAUUUCUACAUUUGUGCUCAUAGAAAUUAAAAAUGUUAAAUAAAGAAUAAAUAUUUCAAAGAAAAUAAAUAAAAUAAUAUGUUAUCAUAACAUAUGGUUAUUGCGAUCUUAAUAAAAGAUUUACUUUUUCUAUCCGUCGGUGUAGGCCAAUGACCGAACCAUAUUAAUUCUCCGUGUUUUUCUUAUUAUAUAACCUUAGCUAAACUAGUUCUCUAGUUGACCGCAUUUCUACAUCUAACAAUUCUUGUGAUGUAUAGGCAGCUGAAACAAUUUUUUGCGUUUUAAAACCUUUCUGACUGUAUAUCAUCAUUUUUUUUUUACGCACACCAGGAUUUGUGACGGCUAUACGGCCAAUCUCCGAUGCAAUAAAUAAAUAAAUAAUAAACGACGUCUAUUUCCACCGCAUAUGACUAUUACGCCAACAUUAUGGAAGUUCCUCACAAAUUUACGAAAAUGACCCUUUAUCUAAUAUUUUGAUAUUUUGUAAUUCUAUCCUCAUCAACAUUUUUAUAUUAAUUAAAAUUUUUAACGAACAUCAGUUGUAAGGUCCACAUCACAAUGACACAUCGUUAGAUACGUGACUACACGCACUAUGACACAUCAAGAUCACAAUGUUUUUAAUUAAGUUCAGUCUUAUUACAAAUGCACAACUGUCUGUCUACUAAUCUUUUUAUGUUUGGGAGUUAGAGUAAGUGUAGGAUUAGAUUAAUUUUCUAGACAAAAUAUUUAUUCCAUGUUUGACGGGCUCGCUUAAAUUUGAUUAAGAGGAUUAAAUUCAAAUUUAUUUUUACAAUUAUAGGAUUAGUUAUCAUAAUUUUCACAUGGGUUUAAGGAGAAUUAGAGUAAGCAAUGCUUGUCCCUUUAUGACAAUCUGUUUGUUUAUUAAUGAGUUGUUAUCUAUUUAAUUAAUUAUUUAUUUUUAUUCAUGAUUUCUUAAAAAUUAAGUAUUUAUUUUUUAUUCUACCCAUGUCAUCUUUUAUCAUUUAUUUAUUUAAUGUUAAAAGUAAUGCAUUAACAAAAUUACUUUUUAGAAACAUGCCAUUUAUCAUUUGAUUAUUAUACAAAUAUUUUUAAAAUAUUUGAUAAAUAAUUAAUUUUAUAUUUAACUAUUUUAGUUAUAUUUUUUUAAUAGGCAAUAAUAUGCAUCAUAUAUAAAAGCAUAUAAUUUUCAUAAUUUUAGUUGUUCUUGUUAAAAACCAUUUAAUUUCACUUAAAUUUAAUUUAACAUAGUGUAAUUAAAUAUUAUACUAAAUAUAAGAUUGUACUACAUAGAAAAAAACAAUGUAAUCCAAUUCAAUUUAAUCUAAUUGAAUUUUAAGUCUAUUUAAUCAUGCUUACUAAACGUAGCCUAACCUAUAACUAAAUCAUACAGUAUAUGAUUGAUUGAUAAUGAAAGAGUAAUCGCUGGCAGACUUAUGUUGUGGCUUGAGUCCAUUUCUUUGGAAAUAUUACAUCCAAUUUGGCCCUGCCAAUCGACCAGAUAGUUCAAAUUGACAAAAUGUCAAAAUCAAUUCAAUUGCGUGCACGCAGGUGUUGGCUUUCACUUUGAAUUUUUUCAAUUUCUAAUUUUUGGCAAAAGGCUAAACUAAUAAAAAUCAUAAAGCUGGUCAAUCCCACAACCAAACACGAGGUCCAUUCGAGUUUGAUUUACCACUCCUCUACGGAGUUAUUACACGACACUCUUAUUAAGCGUCACUUUGUGGGAUUAGAGGAAAAGGUUAAAGUUUGCUUACAUAAUCAUAAAGACCCCCUUAAUUUUUUAAAUUGUUACAAUCCUUAAUUUUAUAAAUAGUUAGACAAGUCUUUUUUUAACCAUUAUACCCUUGAUUACAACUAUUCAAUAUUCACUUUAAAUAAACUUUUAUUACAACAAUUCAAUAUUCAUUUUAAAUAAACUUUUACAAUAAAUAUAAAUUAAAAUGAAAAAAAAAUGUAAUGUAUAAAUUAAGAUAAAAUGUGUAAAUUAUUUGGAAUAUUAGAAAAGUUAUUUUAACAUCAUUAAUCUGUCAUAUUCUUUUAAUAAUAAAAAAAUCUAUUUGACAUAUUAAUAAUGAUAAAAUAACUAUACCUAAUAUUCAUAGUAAUUUAUAAAUUUUAUAUUAUUCUAUUUACUAUGUCUUUUUUUAAUUAUGUCUAUCAGUAUAAUAAAUUAAAGUCAAUUUUUGGAUUAAUACAUUUUAGUAUUAAUAAAUUCCAUCAGGAUAGACUAAUAACAACUUAAUAUUUAAGAUAAUUCAUUAUAUAGGCAAUUUUAUUAAAUAAACUUAUUGUAAUUUUUUAUUUAUAUCAUAUUAUAUAUUUUUAUUAUUUUUAUCUUAUUAUUGUAUUUAUAUUAAUUCAGAUUGUUAUAAUUAAAGGGUAUAAUAAUCAUUUAUGAAAUUAAGGUGUCUAUCUGACCAUUUAUGAAACGAAAGAGGGUUUAUGUGACCACUUAACAAAACCUUACGGUUGUGGGUGGCCUUUUCCCAUUCGAUUAUGCAGGAAACUAAGAUUCUGGUUACUUCUUUCCAAAUUAUGAAUUUCAAAUUCAAAUGCAUGUUGAAUUGCUGAAUAAGAUAUAAGUAUGGCAAAAUUUCCCGAUAGUAAUACUCUAUAUAGAAUUAAUUUUUAGUUAAUAAUAAAAAAUUUUGAUUUCAGUUUAGACCAGUUAUACAUAAGAAUAAACUUCAUAUUGUAAUAAAUUAUAGCUUUUUAAUCCAAUUUUAAGAGUUUUUAGAUCCCAUUUUAAGAAACUUGCCUCCACAUAGUAAUAAUUAUUAGUGUAGCGUAAAAAUAUAUGUUAUGUUAUAUUAAAGGAACUUACUUCCAGAUAGUACAAUUACACAAUGAGAGAUAAUUAAUGAAGAGAAUGCAAAAAAUUAGAGAUUUUUAAGAUGACUUUAAUAUUCCUAAUAAUAGUGCAUUGAUACAUUGUACUUAUUUUUUGAUAUAUUAAGAUUUGAUAUGCUCCAUUAAUAAAUUAUUAAUGUAUUACAUACUUUACCUCUAUAUUCUUACACUAAGGAUAAAUAAGUUAAAACAAUAAUUUUCGUAACUACUCAUCUAUUAAGUAAUAAUUUCUUCAUUGCAAUUAACUAAUUUGGUCCUAAUAUUAUAAGUAUAGAGAGAUAUUGCUAUAUUGAGAUUGAUUGAUAGAGCACACCAGCCUUGAAUUUCGUUAAUGUCCCUAUAUGGUACCAUUUCACACACAUCAAUAAUUUUACAUUGUAAAAAUACGGAGCCAUUAAUCAUGUAAAGAUUGUCAAUUCCCCCCCCCCCCCCCCUCCCGCCCGCCAGACCAUUAUUGGCCAUCUAUUUUGUUAUUUUAUUAUUGUUUUUAUAAUAACCUCUAAGCCAAUUUUUUAAAGGAAAUUGGUGGGCUCAAAAUUCAAAUAGCCCCACCAUUAUUAAAUUAACUUAAAAUCGUUUCCGUAGAAAGUAGGGUAUUAUUGAAAUUGAUUAUGCGAAAGAUAUUUUACGUGGCCCGCGAUCAAAUAGAUGUAAAUAAAGUUAACGUUAUUGCAAGAGUGAAUUGGCAUUGUUCAUAAAAAUUACAAUUCAUUAUAAGAGGAUUGCCAAUUGCUCUCCUACAGUAAUCAACAUAUACCAUUUUCUCCUCUAUUAUUUUUAUAAUGGCCAAAACCCCCCUGAUAGAAUAAAUUUACGAUAUUACCCUUAUUUUCAACUACUUUUUAUUUAUAUUUAUUAUAAAUUAAAUAAAUGACAUGAAUAGAAACUAAAUAAAAAAUUAAGCAUUAAAGAUAAGAAAUAUAUGUUUUGAUAUGAGAAAAAAAUUAAUAAUAAAUUUUUUUUCUUGUACUUAUUUAUUUUGUGAAAUUUUUCUUAUAAUAAAUAUAUAAGAAAGUUAUUAUAAAAUGAUAAAAAAUUUAUUAUAAGAAAAUUUGAAUGACAAAUAAAAAUUUAUUAUAAGAUAAAUAAUAAAAUAUUUUGCCUAUACUUUUUACAUUUAAUUUUAAAAUAUUACAAAAUAUUUAUUAUAAGAAAAUAUUCACAAAAUAAAUAAUUACAAGAAAAAAAAAUUUACUAUUAAUUUUUGUGCUCAUAUCAAAACAUAUAUUUCUUAUUUUUAAUACUUAAUUUUUUUAUUUAGUUUCUAUUCAUGUAAUUUAUUUAAUUUAUAAUAAAUGUAAAUAAAAGAAUAAUUAAAAAUAAGGGUAAUAUUGUAAACUUAUGCUAUCAUGGGGGUUUUUUACCAUUAUAAAAACAGCAAGGGGUAAAUAAUAUAUGUUAAUUACUAUAGGGGGGAAAGUGGCAAUCCCCGUCAUUAUAAAUAGUAAUGCCAUUGAUAACAUUCUUUCACAUUUUCUUUAUUACUGCAUAUAGCAAUGAAACCGAACAUGAGCGGUGUCCUUGUUUUUGCCUUAUUUCUCUUUGAAAUACUUGCCAUAGCAACCAUUAGCAUUAGCUUCUGCAACGGAAGUUCUUAUCACGGGGGUUGCCUUGAAAGUGAGAGAGGAGCACUUUUAAGGCUCAAGCGAGAUCUUAAAGACCCUUCUAACAGGCUUGCUUCUUGGACUGGCAGCGGAGAUUGUUGUGCAUGGACUGGUGUUGUCUGUGACAACAUGACUGGCCAUGUGCUUCACCUCGACCUUCGAAAUCCUUUCAAUUAUUCCAAGGAGUCUGAAUAUGACGCUAUUCGGGGGACAGCGCUUGUUGGUAAGAUAAAUCCUUCUUUGCUUGAUUUAAAGCAUUUGAGUUACCUGGACUUGAGCUUCAAUGAUUUCCAAGGUGAUCGAAUUCCUAGAUUUGUUGGCUCCAUGGGAAAUCUACGGUAUCUCAAUUUUUCUGGAACUCGAAUCGGCGGAAUGAUACCUCAACAACUUGGAAAUCUCUCCAAUCUGCAGUUUCUUGACCUUAGUUCAAAUUAUUUAUUAUACGUUGACAAUUUUUUGUGGCUUUCUGGUCUUUCUGUCCUGGAACACCUCGAUUUGCGUUCUGUGAAUCUUAGCAAAGCCUUUGAUUGGCUGAUGGUAGCAAACAAACUCCCUUCUUUGGUAGAAUUAAGAUUGUCAAAUUGCCAACUCCAACACUUCUCUCCAUUAGCCACCGCAAAUUUUUCGUCUCUCACAGUGCUUGACCUUUCCCACAACCAAUUUGAUAACUCGUUCAUUCCUAGUUGGGUCUUUGGUCUAAGUCAUUUGCUCUUUCUUGACCUAGGUUUUAAUAAUUUUCAAGGUCCAAUUCUUGGGGGACUUCAAAACCUGACUUCCCUUAAACAUCUGGGUUUAGAUUCCAACUACUUCAACUCUUCAAUUCCCAACUGGUUGUAUAGAUUCAUCCAUCUUGAGUACCUUAGUCUUCGCAACAAUAAAUUGCAAGGUACAAUUGACUCAGAGGCUCUUGGAAACUUGACUUCCAUCAGUCGGCUCGAUCUCUCAUUAAAUACUGGUCUUGCAGGGAGAAUUCCAAGAUCCAUGGCAAGACUUUGUAAUUUAAAGUCAAUCAAUCUUCGGGGUGUCCAUGUGAGCCAAGAAAUUUCUGAGAUUUUAGAUAUUUUCUCGGGAUGUGUUUCUAAUGGACUAGAGAGUUUAGAUAUGCGGAGUAGUUCAAUAUAUGGUCAUUUGACUGAUCAGCUUGGCCAAUUUAGAAAUCUCGUCACUCUUAAUCUUGCUAAUAAUUCAAUUGUUGGUCCUAUUCCAGAGUCAUUUGGUCAACUCUCAACCUUGAGAGAACUACAGAUAUAUGAUAAUAAGUUAAACGGAACAAUUUCUGAACUUCACUUUGCCAAUCUGACAGCACUGUCAUGGUUCAGAGUCGGUGGAAACCAAUUGACGUUGGAAGUGAAGCAUGAUUGGAUCCCUCCUUUCCAACUUGUUGCAUUAGGAUUGCAUAGUUGUUAUAUAGGGUCUCGAUUUCCUCUAUGGCUUAAUUCACAAAGGCAUUUACAGUUUCUAGAUUUAGUCAACUCAAGAAUUUCAGAUAUUUUUCCCAUUAGAUUUUUGAAAUCUGCUUCCCAAUUAAAGAUUUUAGAUCUCGAACAAAACCAAAUUCACGGGGAGAUGCCAAAUCUAACCGAGUUUACUCAACUUUUGUUUCUUUCCAUGGAUUCGAAUAAUAUGUCUGGUCCAUUACCCCUCAUAUCAUCCAAUCUCGUUUACCUUGGCCUUUCAUAUAACUCAUUCUCCGGGUCAAUUUCUCAUUUCUUGUGUGACAAAAUCAACGAGACAAAGAGAUUAGAAGCUCUUAAGCUGAAUGAUAAUUAUUUACAAGGAGAAUUACCUGAUUGUUGGAUGAGUUAUCAAAAUUUGAAGAUACUUAAACUAAGUAACAACAAAUUCACUGGUAAUCUUCCAAACUCAUUUGGUAGUUUAGCUUCUCUUGUUUGGUUGGAUCUUGGUAAAAACAGACUGUCUGGGACAAUACCUGUUUCUCUUAAAAAUUGUACAGCAUUAGAGUCACUUGAUGUUGGUGAAAACGAGUUUGUUGGCAAUAUUCCAGCAUGGUUUGGAGAAAGAUUUUCAAGAUUGGUUGUUCUCAACCUUCGUUCCAAUAAGUUUCAUGGCCCUUUACCCACUAGAUUUUGUGAUCUAGCUAUUCUUCAAAUCUUAGACAUCGCGGACAACAAUCUCUCCGGAGCCAUACCAAAUUGCAUUAAUAAUCUCACUGGCAUGGUGACAGCGAACUCUUUUUCACGCAGUGCUCAGCAACAUCUACCUGUUCCUCUGGACGUGGAUGUGAUUCUUACGGAGAAGGCAUCAGUUGUGAGCAGAGGGGAAGUGGUUGAAUAUGAUGAGAUUCUUAAUUUGGUAACGGUGACGGCUGUUUCCAGGAAUGAUUUACCGAAAAAUGUUCCUUUGGAAGUGAGAAAUCUUAAAGCAACGCAGUCAUUAAAUUUUUCGCACAACACUUUCACAGGAAGAAUUCCUGAAAGUAUUGGUGUUAUGAGAUCAUUGGAGUCUGUUGAUUUUUCUGUGAACCAACUUUCGGGUGAAAUUCCACAGAGCAUGUCAAAUUUGAUGUCCUUGAAUUAUUUGAACUUGUCCAACAACAAGUUGACUGGGAAAAUUCCUUCAAGCACUCAACUCCAGGGCUUCGAUGCAUCUAGUUUCGCUGGCAAUGAUCUCUGUGGAGCUCCUCUUCCAAAGAAUUGUACUGAGAAUGUUUCAAAUUCAGAAGAUGAAAAUGGAGAUGAAGACGAAGAUGAAUUGGACCAUUGGUUUUAUGUAAGCAUUGCACUUGGCUUUGUGGUGGGAAUUUGGUGUUUUAUAGGCCCUUUGAUUUUCAAUAGAAGAUGGAGGUACAAAUAUUGUCAUUUCCUAAAUCGCCUUGAGAGGAGAGUUGUUUGUGUUGUAAGAAAACGUGGCUAGAUUUUCUCUGUUUUUGAGUUGUUCUGCUUCUUCAUGUACUGUGCUCACUGAAAGGAAUAGAAUAU